RNAcentral lists this unclassified non-coding RNA (218 nucleotides) under uncultured Micrococcaceae bacterium. RNAcentral's name for it is "contains 16S-23S intergenic spacer region". Lineage: Bacteria; Bacillati; Actinomycetota; Actinomycetes; Micrococcales; Micrococcaceae. The record is from RNAcentral.
UCCGAGUUGACCCCGGCAGUCUCCCAUGAGUCCCCGGCAUAACCCGCUGGCAACAUGGAACGAGGGUUGCGCUCGUUGCGGGACUUAACCCAACAUCUCACGACACGAGCUGACGACAACCAUGCACCACCUGUAAACCGGCCACAAGUGGCUGACACAUCUCUGCAUCAUUCCGGUUCAUGUCAAGCCUUGGUAAGGUGGGGAUGACGUAAGGAUAG